Molecule: ribosomal RNA, 754 nt
Filed under: uncultured bacterium
Lineage: Bacteria
Description: bacterial SSU rRNA
Rfam family: Archaeal small subunit ribosomal RNA
Source: RNAcentral
CUAAAGCGUCGGUAACCGGUUUGUAAAUCUCCAGAUAAAGCCUGAAGCUUAACUCCAGAAAGUCUGAAGAGACUGCAAGACUUGAGAUCGGGUGAGGUUAAACGUACUUUCAGGGUAGGGGUAAAAUCCUGUAAUCCCGGAAGGACGACCAGUGGCGAAAGCGUUUAACUAGAACGAAUCUGACGGUAAGGAACGAAGGCUAGGGUAGCAAACCGGAUUAGAUACCCGGGUAGUCCUAGCUGUAAACAUUGCCCAUUUGAUGUUGCUUUCCCGUUGAGGGAAGGCAGUGUCGGAGCGAAGGUGUUAAAUGGGCCGCUUGGGAAGUAUGGUCGCAAGACUGAAACUUAAAGGAAUUGGCGGGGGAGCACCGCAACGGGAGGAAUGUGCGGUUUAAUUGGAUUCAACGCCGGAAAACUCACCGGGAACGACCUGUGCAUGAGAGUCAACUUGACGAGCUUACUCGAUAGCAGGAGAGGUGGUGCAUGGCCGUCGUCAGCUCGUACCGUAGGGCGUUCACUUAAGUGUGAUAACGAGCGAGACCCACAUCUUUAAUUGCAAAUGUAUAUGGGAAUAUGCAUGCACUUUAGAGAAACCGCCAGCGCUAAGCUGGAGGAAGGAGUGGUCGACGGCAGGUCAGUACGCCCCGAAUUUCCCGGGCUACACGCGCAUUACAAAGAACGGGACAAUACGUUGCAACCUCGAAAGAGGGAGCCAAUCGCGAAACCCGUCCAUAGUUAGGAUUGAGGGCUGUAAC